GGAUUCCUCUUCUCCGUCGAAUCACUUUCUUCGCCCCCUUUUUCCGCGACGUACACACCCCUAUUCUAAAUCGUCCAGUGACCACAAUGUUUGUAUCCUAUGUACGUAUAUGUGUGUCGCUCCUGGCGGUCUUUUAUAAUUGCUUCAUGAUACUUAUUUAUCGCAGUUAUUAAUAAACAAACGAUACCAAGCGGACGUCUCAUCUCGUAAAUAUUGUAAUUAAUGCUCACGAUAAUUUCUGAGCUACACUGCCAUCAAUUUUCAAACUUCUCUCUGCGCACUCCCACUCUUUUAUUCUUUUACGACACUGUUCGAAUUAUACGAGGAAUUUUUCAUCUUUUUGUUUGUAUUCCCUUCUAAAUUUUUUAAGCGUGAUAUUUUUGUAUAAUAUCGAUGUGAAACCACAUACAACACUGAUAAAAUUAGUAUGAGUAAGGUUAAUUUGUGAACAUACCGGUUGAGGUUAUGAUUUGAUCACAGUACAAUUGAAAAUAUUCAAGAAAAUUUUUACCUAUUUUAGGGCACGAAGGUGUUAGGGAGACCAGAAAUAUCGCGGCAUAAUGCGGUGUACGUGCGACAAGAUUGAAAAUCGAGCUCCACGAGGAUAAUAACGUAUGUUGGCCACGAGAACGAACACGAUGGAACUGUGCCAGCUAACCCGGUGCUUUAAUGUUCAUAUUGUAUACGUUGAAUGAUGAGAUCGAUCGAUGGCAAAUAGUAUAUUUAAAAUUUUUACAGAUUUUAAUCUUUAUUUAAAAAUUUUUUAAUAUAAAUUUUUAUACUAAUUUAAGAAUUGCUAUUAAAAUUAGUUAAUUUUAAAUUUUAAA
This is a long non-coding RNA of Apis cerana (Asiatic honeybee), 827 nucleotides long. RefSeq lists it as uncharacterized. Lineage: Eukaryota; Metazoa; Arthropoda; Insecta; Hymenoptera; Apidae. The record is from RefSeq and is a predicted model, not a curated record.